Molecule: long non-coding RNA, 506 nt
Organism: Odocoileus virginianus texanus
Lineage: Eukaryota; Metazoa; Chordata; Mammalia; Artiodactyla; Cervidae
Source: RefSeq, a predicted model, not a curated record
UUCAAGGAUUCUUUCAGAAGUAGAACGGCAAAUCUUGCCACUGAGCUUAGAGUCUGUAUGUGUUUUAACAAAACUUGUGAAAUUUGAGUCUCACAACAUCCAUGAAAAGAGAUAGAUCUAGUCCCAAUUUACAGAUACUGGUUCAUUAAGAUUUUGCUUCCUGUCCAAGGACACCCAAUUCAAGACUAGAGUGGUCUGGUGCAAGGAAAACACUCUGAAUUCAAGAUCAUGCUGUCUGAAGGAUGGCACCUGCAACUGACAGGAGAGAAUUCUGCCUGCAAACCAUUGUUCAGUGCACAACAGACUGCUAAUUACUCAGAGAGACACAGUUUUUCAACAAAGAAUGUGUAUUCCUUCCAGAAAAUGUUGGAAAAUGAAGCAUGAAGAAGAAAAUAACAUUUACAUAUAUAUGUACGACCAGGUCUCUUUGCUGUCCACCUAAAACUGUCAGAACAUUGUUGACCAACUAUACUCCAUUAUAAAAUAAAAAGUUUAAAAAUAUAAAU